Molecule: ribosomal RNA, 429 nt
Filed under: Bacteroidota bacterium
Lineage: Bacteria; Pseudomonadati; Bacteroidota
Description: Bacteroidetes bacterium partial 16S ribosomal RNA
Rfam family: Bacterial small subunit ribosomal RNA
Source: RNAcentral
UAGGGAAUCUUCGGCAAUGGGGGGAACCCUGACCGAGCAACGCCGCGUGAGUGAAGAAGGUUUUCGGAUCGUAAAGCUCUGUUGUUAAGGAAGAACGAGUGUGAGAAUGGAAAGUUCAUGCUGUGACGGUACUUAACCAGAAAGGGACGGCUAACUACGUGCCAGCAGCCGCGGUAAUACGUAGGUCCCGAGCGUUGUCCGGAUUUAUUGGGCGUAAAGCGAGCGCAGGCGGUUAGAAAAGUCUGAAGUGAAAGGCAGUGGCUCAACCAUUGUAGGCUUUGGAAACUGUUUAACUUGAGUGCAGAAGGGGAGAGUGGAAUUCCAUUUGUAGCGGUGAAAUGCGUAGAUAUAUGGAGGAACACCGGUGGCGAAAGCGGCUCUCUGGUCUGUAACUAACGCUGAGGCUCGAAAGCGUGGGGAGCGAACAGG